GACUAAACCCGGUCGGAAAAAUGAUGGAUAAAGAAAGAAAGUAGCGAGGUCUCUGCGGAGGGGGAAGGAGAAGGAGGGAGUACGGAGUAGGGGGAAGGAGGGAGAAGUAGGGUGAGGCCGUUCUCUGGCGGCGGGACCACCAGUCUCGGAGGAGCAGCAGCAGCAGAUCCCAAGGUAGUUCUUGCCCCAGCAGAUCCGAAGCAGUUCGAGCCCAGUAAAUCCCAAGGCAGUUCCAGGCGCGCGGAUCCCAAGGCAGUUCGGGGCAGUUCAAGCCGUAGAAGUUCCAUUACGGGGGUUAAGGGGGCGACACAAGAAACAGUGCGACCAAGCACAAGAGACACACACCAUAGCGGUCUAACUCCGCUAACAACAGGGCAAACACAGCCUGGUCGCAAAGAUCCCAAACAUCCUCCAAAACCACCGUCGUCACCUAGCUAAAAAAGCAAGACUAAACCCACUUAGACUUCGGUCUGUUCUCCCAACGGAAGUCUUAAACCUAAGUCCCAUACUUACGUCGUAUCACUACCAUCCUCCCACAGACAAGUACACGAACCCCUCACCUCUUCCACCGGCUCUUUCCACAGCGACGGACUCUCUUUAGACGCCAAGGUUUCUGUAGACUUCAGAGACUCUACCACAGGCCGUUUCGGAUGACAUAGACCACAAUGACGAAAAAUAAAAAGACAGUAGCAAGGACGGCUUAUUCACGAGAUCUACCAGACGACGCAGACGGUAUCACUCGUUUUCUCAGAUAGAUCCAACCAUCAUUGAUAAGUACAGACAGCAGUUACGAGAACACCCCUCCUACUAUAACGUUAAAGAUACAAGUUAGUUUACAAGCUCAAGAGACAAUUAGAACAGGUACAUAACAGUCAGAAGACGUAUGUAACAUGACUAUUAUAACAGGUCUCCUCUUCGGUUUCUUUUAACAUGACACCAGUUAAAAGGGACUUAAUCAACCAAAUACGACCAAAUACACGGUACAGUCUCAUCGAGACGACUUAACUCAAAUGGUGAAAGACAGAAAGAAAGACUGUGCGACCGUAGAAGGGAUGCAGAAGAUGUGCACGGAUCUUGAUAGUGCCUUAACUUGUAUGUACCUUGUGAUCUAUUGACCUGAUCUUGGGUGAACAAUCCUACAUAAAACAGCUCUUCGUUCGUGGAUAGUUAAAAAAUUGGUCGUACACUUAACAAAAUAGAACAAUACAUUCUCAACACACAUUACAGAUCAUGACUGUCAAAGAUAGAACAAGUACUGAAGCUCCCUGAAGUUCUUCUACAAAGUUGGUUCUUCUCCUUUUUCGCGCCAAUCAAUGCACGUCUUGCCUUUGUGAAGGUCGAAGAUUUUACCUUGAGACAGGUUAACGGGGUACUUACGUCGUCUUCAUCAAUAUUUCAGUCGAUAGAGUAUAAACUUUUUGAAAAUUCAUGGGGGAGAAAAGAGAACACACCUUUAGUCAGAAGGGUUCAGGCGGGGCUUUUGAUGUUAAUAAUACUCCUCUUAAAAGGCUUGUUAAAUUAUAAAAAGAGAGCCAAACAUGAUUUACAAAAAGGGUUGUCAAAUUAUGUAAAGAACCUUAGCAUAGUGGUCAUCAAAAGACAUAAUGAUAUACUAAAAACUCGUCGUGGAGAAGAAAAUAUAUACACAAACAACGUGUAUUAACAAAAGUUAAAAAUACUAUUGACCUAGUUUGUAUCCAAAUGUCCUCAAUUGUGUAACACUACUUAUUUUGUUGCAACUACGUAUCAAAAUGUUCUAUGUUAAAAACCAGAAGGAAUCCUGGAGCAAGGAUCCUUUGUGACUUGUUUGAAAGCUGAGUUGCCUUGUAAUCAAAAGGGUUUAUUGAAAAAUUGUAAAAUACUUUUGUAAAGAAAUUAUAUGUAAAUUCAUCGGAAAAAGAGUAAAAAGAGUAACAUGAAGGUAAAAAAACCCCUUAUAUAUAGUUGUCGUACUGAGAGUACUUUUGAAGUCAGACAAACAUUAUCUUCUUAAGAAUCCCCUAGAGUAUUGCAGUAAUACGUGAACGAGCCCAAUAAAUAACCCUUUAGACAAAAACCUGGGUGUAUUACAAAAAAAGAGUAUUUUCGCGUGUGUGCCCAAUACUGAUAUCAAACAAACCUGAUCUUAUAAAAAAAGCGAGGAAGGAUCGUUACAAAAAAAACCAGUUUUGGCAAGCAUAGAUUGUUUAAUCUUUAGUACCUGAGCUCGCUUCCUAUGUUUACCUGUAUAUAGAUUGUACUCCGGUUAGAACGGUAAGUAGAAGGGAUAAGGAUCACUUGUAAAAAAAUGUCUUGUUAAAAAAGUUCAUAGUAAAUUAACAACUACGGUUCGUUGUAAAAAAAUCUCUUGUAAAAAGUCAUAUAGUAAUAAAAUCUCUUGUGAUAAGUUCUUUGUAAAAAAAGUUCAGGGUAAAAUUAACAACUACGGCUACUUUUUAAUAUACUGAACUUCUUGUAAAAAUAUGAAGGCUCUUGUAAUAAAUUAUGAUCAAAGGGGGUUAUUACAAUAAAUUUUACUUGUAAUAAGUCAAUAGUAGCCUCGUUAUGAACAAGGGGGUUAUUACAGGGAACUUCUUACAGGGAAUUUAUAACAAGGGGUCAAUUUAUAAGUAAAAAAAUAAUUGGUCCCUUGUAAAAGGUUUCUUGUAAUAAAUUUUUUGUAAAAAAACCGUUGUAAUAAAAUCUAUAGUUAUAAAAUCUCCCGUAAAAAGAUCCUAAAAAAAUCCACAUACUAAUGAAGUACUACAGUUGUAAAAAGAUCCUAAAGAAAAUUAAUAACUCCCUUGUAUAAGUUUAUUGUAAAUAAAAAAUCUGAAAUCCCUUCUAAAAGGUUCUCUUUAAAGAACCGUGGUCGUUUGUAAAGGACUGUUCGUAAUAAAUCCCUUGUAAAAAGACAAAAAGUAAUAAAAUCUCUUGUAAUAAAACCCCUUGUAAAAAAGGUACAGGGUAAAUUAACAACUACGGCUCCUUUGUAAUAAACAGAACUUCUUGUAAAAAAAUGAAUUCUCUUGUUAUAAAUUAAAACUUUUUGUUUAAAAAAUAAAAAAACGAUUUCUUACAGGGAAAUUAUUACACGGGAUCAGUUUACAAGUAAAAAAAUAAUUAGUCCCUUAAUAUCAAGGGGAUAUUACAAGGGACUAAUUACAAGGAAAUUAUUACAAGGGGUUUAUUACAAGUUGAAAAAACAAGGGGGUUAUUACAAGGGAUUUAUUACAAAGAAAUUAUCACAACAGGUUUAUUACAAGGGAGUUAUAAACAACUACGGCUCCUUUAUAAUAAACUGAGCUUCUUGUAAAAAUUUGAAGUCUCUUGUAAAAAAAAUUUUGUACAUCACUAAAAAAAUCUUGUAAUAAAGAAAGAAAAAGAAAUUAUUACAAGGGGUUUAUUUACAAGUUAAAUAAAACAAGGGGGUUAUUACAAGGGACUUAUUACAAAGAAAUUAUUACUAGGGGUUUAUUAACAACUACGGCUCCUUUAAUAAACUGAACUUCUUGUAAAAAUUUGAAGUCUCUCAUAAAAAAUAAAACUAUUUGUAAAUUACAAAAAGCCUUGUAAUAACUCCCUUGUAAUAAGUUCCUUGUAAUAAUAUAAGUCUUACAACAUUUGUAAAAAGAAGUUGCUGCGAUCAUUAAGUUCUUAGGGUUUUCCGACCAUUCGUCCAGUAGAAAAGUCUACCUUAUCUCUUACUAAAGAUGGUUUGUAACCAACCUGAAGAAGGGUUUAAUUGAAUGUCGGUUUACUAUAAACUCUAACUUCCUCAAACCCACCUAGUCUUUUGAUAUUGAGAUAGUAAGUUCGGACCACCAACCUAUUUGGGAGCCCAACAACCGACAAAAAGUUUUGAUUUCUUGUUUCCGGUCGACCUGGCUCCUUCUUUUCCGGAGGAUACUUUGUCGCUUUAUCACCUCGUGUAUCAAUCGUAACUGCUGUACCUCUUCGAUUACUUGGGUUACGAUUUAGUAAGUCUAGGACGUUUGGUUGAUUAGAAUGUCCUUUCAUUACAACCGAAGUCAAAUAACUUACGAAGGAACCAUUUUUACGGGCAUAAGUUCCUUUUUGUUACCUAAAAUUAGUAACGAUUAAAGUAUCGGUUUAAAAAACUAUAGUACUUGGGCAUGAUGUCACCGCUAUAUAAAGAUGGUUGUUAAUCACGGCAAUAGAUGUUGAAGUUCCAAAACAAACGACGAUGUAUGCCUUUAAGAUCAAGAAAGUUGUAUCCUUUAAAACUUAGUUCUAAACAUGGUCGAGGGUUCCAGUUAAAGUCCACACAAAAGGUAUCUUGAGAGGGGAAAAUGUUCUAAACAUGUUCGGUGGUCGUUGAAAAACCAAGAAAGAGGAUUUUUCCGUCUAAUUUUCAUAAAAUUUAAGUGUUAUUAAAGGUAGGAUUCAUACCUUGACUAACACGAUAAUAAAAACAAAGUGUUCAUACUGAGUUCUUAAAAGGAAGAAGUUAUACAAUCGUUCAUGUUUCCAGAGCUAAACCUCCCCAAGAGAUUACAUUCGCUAUCUGUAUACAAAGGAAAAAACCAGUAAUUAACCUUGUAUAAUCCUUAAUUUAUUGUGAAAAAGAUUUUAUGACAUACUACUAAAUGUUCGAGAUGCAGUUUUUAAGGAAAAACUCUAACAUUGAACGUUCCUGUUCCUUUAAGUCGACGGCAAUCAUUGAAGAAAGGACGUCUCUGUACAUUCAAGAGAUAAAUAAACAGAGGGUUACUGUCUUUUCUCUACAAUAAAAGAAUCUCGGACAAGAAAGUAUGGCUUGUCACUUUAAUAAAAGAAGAUUAGGGCAUAUACAAAGUUGUCCUAAAGGUGUAUAAGUUCACUUCGAAACUUCCGGUUAGAAAUGAGCAAGACGUAUACUGUUAUUGGAGUCCGAGAGUAAUUAUGACAGUGGAAGUUCCCUUCAACGUGAUGUUCUAAGUUGAGUUUCCUUAUGAAGGUACCCUUUUUACAAAGGAAUUGCUAUCUCGAUAGAAAAAAAGGAGAACGACCAGAUCACUAUCAAAGAAACGUUCUGGAAGUCGAUAUUUGUUACAGGCCUUUGUCAACUUUGCCAAAACAUUUGCUCGUUGGCUAAAGAAACCCUUUGUAUAAAGGGAAAAAAUAAGAGUUCCCAGGGUUGCGUUCUAAAAAAAAGUUGAGUUUCCUUGUCAUGGUACUCCUUUGAUUAGGCAACAAACAAAUUGUAAGAACGUAAUACAAGUUAACAUUUCUUCCAAAUUUAGACGUCUUAUUCAAACAUUUCAUCGAGUUUAUAAAUAUAAGAAUAAAGG
Molecule: ribosomal RNA, 5273 nt
Filed under: Triticum aestivum (bread wheat)
Lineage: Eukaryota; Viridiplantae; Streptophyta; Magnoliopsida; Poales; Poaceae
Description: partial small subunit ribosomal RNA
Source: RNAcentral